RNAcentral lists this long non-coding RNA (269 nucleotides) under Nicotiana benthamiana. RNAcentral describes it as "long non-coding RNA (NBEN_LNC039909)". The record is from RNAcentral. Lineage: Eukaryota; Viridiplantae; Streptophyta; Magnoliopsida; Solanales; Solanaceae.
CCUACCCAUUUACAUGCAAAAAUCUAUACAUAGUCAAUGUAUUUAACUCAUAAUAGGUGCGAUUAGCUUAAUUUAUCAUUAAUGAAUGAAUUCCUCUCUUUAAUCCUCCAAGAAUCGCCCCCAAGCCAAGAAAAUAUGAUAGAAAUGGCCAAUUCACAACUUUUAAAACAACCCUUCUGCCUACAGUUAUUUCUGCACCUGCGGCCUCUAGACCGCUUCUGUGGUUCCGCAGGUGCGUCUCCACUUUCGCUUAUGUGGAUAACUCAUUA